AAGCAAUGUGACUGUUUCCCAGGCAUAGGAGCUGGGUUCCUUUCCAGGGAGCAUUGCCUCCUGUGCAACAGCCAGCUCUUCUCUGAGGAUACUCCCAUCAGUAUGAAGACAGUUUUAUAACCUGGGAUCCAGAAAUACCAAAAUCCUGUACCUGACCAUCCCCAUGUUCUCUGACAAGGCUCUGGAGGAAAAUGCAUGAGCAAGAAACAAUGAAUGAAGAAAACCAAGGUGAAGCAAAGUUUGGAGAGCCAUGCAGAAAUAUGAUUGAACAAAAAGAGUAUCAUCCAAUUCUAACAGACUGAGUGAGGAAACGCAGCAAGCCCUGUCUAUCUGGAUUUUCCUUGGUCUCUCGAGCAUGCUUUCCUUCCUCCUGAGUAUGGAGUAGCACCCUCUCUGGAAUAGGGGCCUUAUGACCUACAGUCUUCCCUAAGAUUUUUCUCUGCGAGGGAAUCAAACUGCUCUAUGAAGCUCUAUGAAGAGGCUUAUAUGGAAAGAUACAGAGACUUUCUGCCAGCAACCAUGUGGUCAGCCCACACAGAAGUGGAUGUUCCAGGCCAGGUCAAACCUUCAUUCACUGCAGCCCCAGCUGAACUCUCAACUACAACCUCAUGAGAAUUCCUCAGAAGAAUCACCCAGCAAAGCCGCUCCUGAAUUCCUAACUCACAGGAAUUGCGAGUAAUAAAUGUUUGGUAUUUAAUCCACUAAGUUAGAAGUAAUUUCUUAUACAAUAUGAAUAACUAAUACAGAUUUUAAUGGUUUUAAUAAAGGAUUAGAUUAAAAUUAUAUUCAAAGGUUCUAAUGCUAAAAAGGACUCUUUUGUUUCCUAAGAAUACUUUAUUAAUAUUUUUAGCUGUGGUGCACUCUAUAUAAAUGGUCAAUGAAAAGAGAAUUUUCAGGUUGGAGAAUCUUUCAGUGAGUCCUCAAAGCAUAUCAUAAAGUUGGCUGGCUAGUCUUUUCUCACCUAAGACUGUCUUGCUAAUUCCGCUGAAUUCCCAUUCUCUUGCCACCUCCCCUCCUCCACACCAAUUCAACUGUAUUCCAUCAUUUUCAGCCUGCCUUGCUCCAAUUUCUAAUGGAAAUGCAGUUGACUCUUGAACAACAUGGGUUUGAGCCACACGAAUCUGCUUGUAUGCAGAUUUUCUUCCAUCUCUGCCACCGCUGAGGCAGCAAGACCAACCCUUCAUCUUCCUCCUUUUCCUCAGCCUACUCAAAGUAAAGAUGACAAGGAAGACCUUUAUGAUGAUCCAUCUCCACAUAACGAAUAGUAAAUAUAUUUUCUCUUCCUUGUGAUUUUCUUAAUAACAUUUUCUUUUCUCUAACUUUAUUGUAAGAAUACAGCAUACAAUACGUAUAUAAGAUACGUGUUAAUUGGCUGUUUAUGUUAUUAGUAAGGCCUCUGGUCAACAGUAAGCUACUAGUUGUUAAGUUUUGGGGGAGUAAAAGUUAUAUGUGAAAUUUUGACUGCACAGUAAUCAGUUCCUCUAACCCUCAUAUUGUUCAAGGGUUCAUGGUAUUACCAAAUAAUACUACAAAUAUUUUUGGAUAUCUUUAACAACUCAAAAAAUAAAGCAUAUAUUGUGAAUAAAUAUAUUAUCAUCUCUAACACAAAAACAUUAUCAUGAAUGUGAUUUGAUGGAAUCAAAGACAGGUGUGGGGAGAUGGGAGGAAGGAGUGGGAAUGAUUAAGCUCCUUAGAAAUUUCCAUCAGCUUCUAUCAAGCCACUUCAGUAAUCAUACCAUCCUUGUAAAAACAGUAUGUGCUUCUUAUAGAAAUAAAGCUUUAAGACAAAUUCCCUAGUCCCUAUUUGGAAAGGGAUUGAAUCCCCCAAGCCCCUUAAAUGUAGAAAUUCCAUAUACGCUAUUGCUAACCAUGGUCAUACUUGUUAGUUAAUAUUCCUAAAGUCAGCCCAAGUAUGAGACUAUGUAUUAUAAGUUAAUAGGAUGAGCAUCUGAUAGUAAUUAAUAUUUUGACCAGCUUAAUUACUGAGUCAAUAAUUUAAUUGUCUUUGAUCAAUUAAAUUAACUAGUGCAAGAGUCAUCCUCCAAGUUUGGCAGUAAAGGAUAACUUAGAAUAAUUAAUGUCCAACUGUGGCUUAUUUCCAAAGACAAUUAAUGAUUUGUAGCUCCUUACAAAUUUUACUGUUGUUAUGGAUUAAUUGGUAUCUAACUUUGAAUUAGACAGAAUCAAAUAAAAUAUAUUAAUUAUUCAGCCAUGACAUAAUUUACAGAACCUAGUCACCAUCACUGAAUAUUUCUUUAAUUGGUAUAUAGAAACCAGAAUACUGAGCCAGCUCAAUAACUGCUAAGUUUUUAAAAUACGUGUAGUUUCUGUUGGCUUCUUACCAGGAUUUUCUUCCAUGUACCUACAUAAUUUUCAUAGGACUUGAAAGUUUUUGCUUUGAUUUUAAUUACUACCUGCAGUAUCUUCUCAUUAAUCAGUUUUCAAGCAAUUAAUUGUAUCAUAAGUGGAAAGUAUUGACCGAAUUACUUAAAGGCCAUUUCCAGAAUUAGACAUGGCAAUUAAUUUCCUGGUGUCUAUGUUAAUAAGUUGUCAUAGAUUGUUUGACAGACAGUGAUUACAAUCUACAUCAGCCAUGCAAAUACACAAAGCAGGCUUAUCGGCUUGCCUAAUAAUAAAGGAAGGCUGGGUUUUAAAAGGAGAAAGGAGGUAAAAUCUGAGCCAACUACAUUGUUGGGGAGGCAGUACUAUCUCAGUCACAAAGAUGUAGCAUUGCUAGAGAUUGUCAAAGCCUUUUCCAGGUCUUGAAAAAUUCAGUUUAGAAUAUGUUCUUGGCUGCCCUAAAUUCAACCAAGCAUGACCACAUUUCUACCAUGAUUGCAAGAUACAUAUUAUUACAUAUGGAAAAAUGUUUAUGUCUUAGGAAAUUUUUUGACUUUGCUAUGGAAAAGAUAUCUGAAGUCCAUUUUUAUAAAAAAUGUUAAUUUAUUUCUAAAUUGUAUCCACUAACAUAGGCACUCUUGUAUAAUUCAUUAAUUUUUUCAGCCAUUUCUCUUUUUUUGCCAAACCAAGGUAUGUAAUGUUUGUUUAGUUCCUUAAAAGUGGUUUGUAAUUAUGAUUUUAAUGAACAUAUUUUCAUGUAUGAAAUAUUUCAAACAGAUUGUAAAAUACAGAGUGUAGUAUGACAAACACUAAUGAGUAUCUCAGGUAGAUUUAAUAGAUGUAUACAUUUUUGUUUUCACUUCCAAUCUCUUUAUUAAAACAAUUAUUUCUAUGAAUUUUUAAAUACCUUUUCACAAAUAUAAUUAUGUGGCAUAAUAUAUAAUUAUAUAACUAUCUAUAUAGUUGCAACUGUUAGAUUUUUUACAUAUUUGACUUAAGAGGUAUUUCAAAGUUGCCCAUUAUCUCUAUGUAUAUUUUUAAAAAUUUAUUAGGUGACAUAGGCUUAAAUAUAUAUACAUGUGUGCAUGUGUGCAUAUACAUGUAUAUAUAGUAUUAAACAUAUUUAUGUAAAUGUAUAUGUAUACAUGGGAUUAAAUAUAUGUACUUGUGUGUAUACACACAUGCACAUAUAAAAUAUAAUACUGUGUCAUCUAAUAGACUUUUAAAAUGUAACCAGUCUAGUGCGUAUUCCAAUGUUUUAACUUGCAUUUUCAAUAACGUAUUUGUGCAUCAUUUAAAAUAUUUAUUGAACAUUAAUUUUUGCUCAUCCAUUGAUUGACUAAUAUUGCUUCACUCAUUAUUAUAGGAUUUUUUCUUAUUUAUUAUAGGAAUGCAUAAUAUGUUCCGGAUGUUCAUUUUUUGUUUAUUAUACAUAAUAAAAAUUUACUUCCCA
Molecule: long non-coding RNA, 3793 nt
Filed under: Homo sapiens (human)
Lineage: Eukaryota; Metazoa; Chordata; Mammalia; Primates; Hominidae
Description: HSALNT0071143
Source: RNAcentral